RNAcentral lists this ribosomal RNA (445 nucleotides) under uncultured bacterium. RNAcentral's name for it is "partial 16S ribosomal RNA". It matches the Rfam family "Bacterial small subunit ribosomal RNA", at positions 354 to 796 of the family's 1533-position model. The record is from RNAcentral.
GUGAGGAAUAUUGCGCAAUGGAGGCAACUCUGACGCAGCCAUGCCGCGUGCAGGAAGAAGGCGCUACGCGUUGUAAACUGCUUUUAACCGGGAAGAAACCCCAGGACGUGUCCUGGGUUGACGGUACCGGAGGAAUAAGCACCGGCUAACUUCGUGCCAGCAGCCGCGGUAAUACGAAGGGUGCAAGCGUUAUCCGGAUUCAUUGGGUUUAAAGGGUGCGUAGGCGGAGCGUUAAGUCAGUGGUGAAAUCCUGCAGCUUAACUGUAGACUUGCCAUUGAUACUGGCGCUCUUGAGUGCGCUUGAAGUGGGCGGAAUGUGCCGUGUAGCGGUGAAAUUCUUAGAUAUGGCACAGAACACCAAUUGCGAAGGCAGCUCACUAAGGCGAUACUGACGCUGAGGCACGAAAGCGUGGGGAUCGAACAGGAUUAGAAACCCGGGUAGUCC